Molecule: transfer RNA, 73 nt
Filed under: Coxiellaceae bacterium
Lineage: Bacteria; Pseudomonadati; Pseudomonadota; Gammaproteobacteria; Legionellales; Coxiellaceae
Description: tRNA-Gly
Rfam family: tRNA
About the family: Transfer RNA (tRNA) molecules are approximately 80 nucleotides in length. Their secondary structure includes four short double-helical elements and three loops (D, anti-codon, and T loops). Further hydrogen bonds mediate the characteristic L-shaped molecular structure. tRNAs have two regions of fundamental functional importance: the anti-codon, which is responsible for specific mRNA codon recognition, and the 3' end, to which the tRNAs corresponding amino acid is attached (by aminoacyl-tRNA synthetases). tRNAs cope with the degeneracy of the genetic code in two manners: having more than one tRNA (with a specific anti-codon) for a particular amino acid; and 'wobble' base-pairing, i.e. permitting non-standard base-pairing at the 3rd anti-codon position.
Source: RNAcentral
GGGGGAUUAGCUCAGGAGGUAGAGUGUCUGCCUACCAGGCAGAAGGUCGUGAGUUCGAGUCUCACAUUCUCCA